Molecule: ribosomal RNA, 253 nt
Filed under: uncultured bacterium
Lineage: Bacteria
Description: partial 16S ribosomal RNA
Rfam family: Bacterial small subunit ribosomal RNA
Source: RNAcentral
UACAGAGGUCUCAAGCGUUGUUCGGAUUCAUUGGGCGUAAAGCGCGCGUAGGCGGCCCGAUAAGUCCGCUGUAAAAGUCCAGGGCUCAACCCUGGAAAGCCGGUGGAUACUGUCGGGCUAGAGUCCGGAAGAGGCGAGUGGAAUUCCUGGUGUAGCGGUGGAAUGCGCAGAUAUCAGGAGGAACACCAAUGGCGAAGGCAGCUCGCUGGGACGGUACUGACGCUAAGGCGCGAAAGCGUGGGGAGCGAACAGG